GACGAAGGGGGCUAGCGUUGUUCGGAAUUACUGGGCGUAAGGCGCGUGUAGGCGGUUGCCCAAGUCGGGUGUGAAAGCCUUGAGCUCAACUCAAGAAAUGCACUCGGUACUGGGUGACUAGAGGACCGGAGAGGAUAGUGGAAUUCCCAGUGUAGUGGUGAAAUACGUAGAGAUUGGGAAGAACACCAGUGGCGAAGGCGGCUAUCUGGACGGUUUCUGACGCUAAGACGCGAAAGCGUGGGGAGCAAACAGG
Molecule: ribosomal RNA, 253 nt
Filed under: uncultured bacterium
Lineage: Bacteria
Description: partial 16S ribosomal RNA
Rfam family: Bacterial small subunit ribosomal RNA
Source: RNAcentral